Molecule: transfer RNA, 67 nt
Filed under: Bradyrhizobium sp.
Lineage: Bacteria; Pseudomonadati; Pseudomonadota; Alphaproteobacteria; Hyphomicrobiales; Nitrobacteraceae
Description: tRNA-His
Rfam family: tRNA
About the family: Transfer RNA (tRNA) molecules are approximately 80 nucleotides in length. Their secondary structure includes four short double-helical elements and three loops (D, anti-codon, and T loops). Further hydrogen bonds mediate the characteristic L-shaped molecular structure. tRNAs have two regions of fundamental functional importance: the anti-codon, which is responsible for specific mRNA codon recognition, and the 3' end, to which the tRNAs corresponding amino acid is attached (by aminoacyl-tRNA synthetases). tRNAs cope with the degeneracy of the genetic code in two manners: having more than one tRNA (with a specific anti-codon) for a particular amino acid; and 'wobble' base-pairing, i.e. permitting non-standard base-pairing at the 3rd anti-codon position.
Source: RNAcentral
CUCAGUUGGUUAGAGCGCCUGUCUGUGGAACAGGAGGUCGGUGGUUCGAGCCCACCCAACUGUACCA